AGUCGUAUAUACUGUGGAGAUUGGGGUCCAUUGGCCCAACUAGUUCUCGUACAUAUAGAUUAGAGAUCUUGUAUCCCCAACAAAUUAACACAUGGACACCUUCAACGUGCGUGGUGCGCGCUCGCUCGCUCGCCCUCACUCCUCGCGUUGCUCCUCCAUGGCGAUGCGGCGUCCACUCACCGAGGGCUUCAGGACGCCGAGGCCCCCGACCUCCCGUGGGCGAACGCGACCGCAGACGCCGAGGCCGACGAGCGCUUGUUGCACGGCACGUCCUGGGCUAACGAUACCGAUCCGUGGGCGGCCGUCUACGGGCAUGCUGGAUGGUGGCUCUCGUGGAGGUGCCCACGGAGGGAGAAGAACGGAACCCUGCCCAGGAUAACCAGGCUCUGCUACGCCCGCGAGGUAAGAUUGCUGGAGAAGCUCCACCCACCGCCGCCGCCGCAGGAGAGCCCAGAAGAGGAGGCCCGCCGCAGAGUGGUUGAGAUCUUGAGCACCUCCUCGGUGCAGGUGGAUCCCUGGCCUGAGAAGAUUCUUAAUCCAGUGAUGGAGUCAACAAGAUACCGCACAUACAGGGUCCCUCCGUUCCAGCCAGCAGCCCGGCACGCCCCGAUUUAGAUCGUGAUUCCUCUCCUUUUUUUUUUCUGUUUGUGAUUAUCCACCAUCUAUGUGUAAUCGAAGAUAUACGGUAUCUGAGAUAAUUAAACAGAAUCGAAUCGGUUAAUUAGGCUUGUUUUUUUAUAUUUCAGUGGCUAUUAUAUCUGUCGAGCAUAUCUUUUAUAAGCCGCAAAAUUCGGAUC
Setaria italica (foxtail millet) is the source of this 797-nucleotide long non-coding RNA. RefSeq lists it as uncharacterized. NCBI's taxonomy places the organism in Eukaryota, Viridiplantae, Streptophyta, Magnoliopsida, Poales, Poaceae. The transcript has 2 exons. The record is from RefSeq and is a predicted model, not a curated record.